Callithrix jacchus (white-tufted-ear marmoset) is the source of this 405-nucleotide non-coding RNA. The record is from RefSeq and is a predicted model, not a curated record. Lineage: Eukaryota; Metazoa; Chordata; Mammalia; Primates; Cebidae.
CUAAGUAUGAAGUCUUGCCAUCUUUAUGUUUCCUUUGUAGAAAGCAGUGAAUGCAUCCGCAGUGCAUAACCGUGUAAAAGAGCUCGGAUGUCACUGCUUUCCAAGCUCUUGAAGGACAAGUGCUCAUCUUGGCUGUCAAGGACCUCACUUCAGAACCCCAUGGAAUUGGCUACUUGCAAGAUGAGGAGAUAGGAGAAGCAGCAGAAGAAAGGAACCACUUUCCUGCUUCCUUCUAUUGUGAAGAGAAUUGAACCCAGAGUAUCACUUGGAUAAGGAAACAAGACUGUUGGCAAUUCAGGCUUUCAUUGCAUUGAUUAGCUACUUCCUCAAUAUGGAGCCACUCUUGACAAAUGCAGCCAGAAUUUGACCAAAACAAACCAAAAAAUGGUAACUGCUCAACAGAAA